RNAcentral lists this ribosomal RNA (253 nucleotides) under uncultured bacterium. Its description in RNAcentral is "partial 16S ribosomal RNA". It matches the Rfam family "Bacterial small subunit ribosomal RNA", at positions 524 to 776 of the family's 1533-position model. The record is from RNAcentral.
UACGUAGGGGGCGAGCGUUGUCCGGAAUCAUUGGGCGUAAAGAGCGUGUAGGCGGCUCGAUAAGUCCGCUGUGAAAGUCCAGGGCUCAACGCUGGAAGGCCGGUGGAAACUGUCGGGCUAGAGUCCGGAAGAGGCGAGUGGAAUUCCCGGUGUAGCGGUGAAAUGCGCAGAUAUCGGGAGGAACACCAAUGGCGAAGGCAGCUCGCUGGGACGGUACUGACGCUGAGACGCGAAAGCGUGGGGAGCAAACAGG